AUUGAACGCUGGCGGCAUGCUUUACACAUGCAAGUCGAACGGUAACAGGCCGCAAGGUGCUGACGAGUGGCGCACGGGUGAGUAAUGCAUCGGAACGUGCCCAGUCGUGGGGGAUAACUACUCGAAAGAGUAGCUAAUACCGCAUACGAUCUAUGGAUGAAAGCGGGGGACCGUAAGGCCUCGCGCGAUUGGAGCGUCCGAUGUCAGAUUAGGUAGUUGGUGGGGUAAAGGCUCACCAAGCCAACGAUCUGUAGCUGGUCUGAGAGGACGACCAGCCACACUGGGACUGAGACACGGCCCAGACUCCUACGGGAGGCAGCAGUGGGGAAUUUUGGACAAUGGGCGCAAGCCUGAUCCAGCAAUGCCGCGUGCAGGAAGAAGGCCUUCGGGUUGUAAACUGCUUUUGUACGGAACGAAACGGCUCUGGUUAAUACCCGGGGCUAAUGACGGUACCGUAAGAAUAAGCACCGGCUAACUACGUG
This 482-nucleotide ribosomal RNA is filed under the name uncultured bacterium. RNAcentral describes it as "partial 16S ribosomal RNA". It matches the Rfam family "Bacterial small subunit ribosomal RNA", at positions 30 to 507 of the family's 1533-position model. The record is from RNAcentral.